This 275-nucleotide ribosomal RNA is filed under the name uncultured bacterium. RNAcentral describes it as "partial 16S ribosomal RNA". It matches the Rfam family "Bacterial small subunit ribosomal RNA", at positions 399 to 691 of the family's 1533-position model. The record is from RNAcentral.
GCGUGUGUGAUGAAGGCCUUAGGGUUGUAAAGCACUUUCAACUGUGAAGAUGAUGACGGUAGCAGUAGAAGAAGCCCCGGCUAACUCCGUGCCAGCAGCCGCGGUAAUACGGAGGGGGCUAGCGUUGUUCGGAAUUACUGGGCGUAAAGCGCGCGUAGGCGGACCAGCCAGUCAGAGGUGAAAUCCCCGGGCUCAACCCGGGAACUGCCUUUGAUACUGUUGGUCUCGAGUCCGGAAGAGGGUAGUGGAAUUCCAAGUGUAGAGGUGAAAUUCGU